Molecule: ribosomal RNA, 133 nt
Filed under: Oscillospiraceae bacterium
Lineage: Bacteria; Bacillati; Bacillota; Clostridia; Eubacteriales; Oscillospiraceae
Description: partial 23S ribosomal RNA
Rfam family: Bacterial large subunit ribosomal RNA
Source: RNAcentral
AACUCCCCCUGAGAUAAGAUCUCCCAUCCGAGAGGAGUAAGGGACGAGGCAGACUACCUCGUUGAUAGGCCGGAGGUGUAAGCACGGCAACGUGUUCAGCUGACCGGUACUAAUAACCCGAGGGCUUGACCUU